GAUCUCUUUGUUCGCUACGUGGACGGCAGAGCGUUGUGAAAUGCGCGUGAAAAAGGUGCCAAAAAAAAGAGGGGAGGGUCAGUCAAGCGAGGGGGGGAAACUAAAGGGCGGAGGCGUUGACGACACGUGUCCUCCCAAUCACAAGUCCUUUCUCAGGUGUUCCGAUAUAUACGUCCACACACGCAGUUAAGUGAAAGUUAAAAAUAAACUGCCUUUUGUUUUAUUUAAUCUUAAGGUAGGCAGAACAAUUCGGCCAGCUGCUAAGAAUAAAAACGUUGGGCCGUAAAAUUGACCGGGGCCGUCAUCGUUUCGACACGCAUCUACUUGAUUUCAUCAUUUGACGGUCACGGGAAAAACGUUCGUCCUUGCCACUUGACGAUUUUGACAAGCUGAACAAUAUAAUAAUGAGGAUGGGCGUUGGCCGCGUUCUUGUUUGCGUACAGCACAUCGUUUGUCUUUUGUCAGACUAUACACGCGGGAUAAUGGCGUUCAAACAGGAACCCAACCGACCAUUAAAUCAACAUUAAAUCAGCGCUCGUGUGUGUGUGCCAUGUUAAUAAAUCUUGAUGAAAUUGAACACCCGGAACUGGAAGCGUUCCAGCGAGAUUGAAACGGAUUUGCGAUCAGGAUGAAAAAAAAAAAGACUUUUUUCAAACCAAGGUCAUCAGAAGGUGAAAGAAACGGAGCAUCGGAUCACGCGGAAGUGUAGAGGAAAUAAUGUAGGUCCCACAAGGGCGUGGUGACCUCCGACGCGGCUAACGUUCACGUUGUUUUCAAGCAUUCUGCAUGUUCGAUUGAAUUGUUUAAACAAUUAACUUGCCCUAGUUUUUUUUGUGUCAAAAUUAUUUCAUUUUUUCAUUUCGGUGGUUGUGGAAAAGAGAUGCCUAUAUCCAACGUGCCAUGCAAAUGAGGGGCAACAGAUUAAUGCAAACUAAUUCAGUCAAUGCAUUUCUUAGUAUAUUAUAAGGAAUGAAACGCUCGGAUUGACUUGC
Daphnia magna is the source of this 992-nucleotide long non-coding RNA. RefSeq lists it as uncharacterized. The transcript has 3 exons. The record is from RefSeq and is a predicted model, not a curated record. NCBI's taxonomy places the organism in Eukaryota, Metazoa, Arthropoda, Branchiopoda, Diplostraca, Daphniidae.